GAUCGUGGCGGUCUGCUUUAACAUGCAAGUCGAACGGCAGCACGGGCUUCGGCCUGGUGGCGAGUGGCGAACGGGUGAGUAAUACAUCGGAACGUACCCAGAAGUGGGGGAUAACGUAGCGAAAGUUACGCUAAUACCGCAUACGUUCUACGGAAGAAAGUGGGGGAUCGCAAGACCUCAUGCUUUUGGAGCGGCCGAUGUCUGAUUAGCUAGUUGGUGAGGUAAAGGCUCACCAAGGCGACGAUCAGUAGCUGGUCUGAGAGGACGACCAGCCACACUGGAACUGAGACACGGUCCAGACUCCUACGGGAGGCAGCAGUGGGGAAUUUUGGACAAUGGGCGCAAGCCUGAUCCAGCAAUGCCGCGUGAGUGAAGAAGGCCUUCGGGUUGUAAAGCUCUUUUGUCAGGGAAGAAACGGCGGGGGCUAAUAUCCUUUGCUAAUGACGGUACCUGAAGAAUAAGCACCGGCUAACUACGUGCCAGCAGCCGCGGUAAUACGUAGGGUGCAAGCGUUAAUCGGAAUUACUGGGCGUAAAGCGUGCGCAGGCGGUUUUGUAAGUCUGACGUGAAAGCCCCGGGCUCAACCUGGGAAUUGCGUUGGAGACUGCAAGGCUUGAAUCUGGCAGAGGGGGGUAGAAUUCCACGUGUAGCAGUGAAAUGCGUAGAGAUGUGGAGGAACACCGAUGGCGAAGGCAGCCCCCUGGGUCAAGAUUGACGCUCAUGCACGAAAGCGUGGGGAGCAAACAGGAUUAGAUACCCUGGUAGUCCACGCCCUAAACGAUGUCUACUAGUUGUCGGGUUUUAAUUAACUUGGUAACGCAGCUAACGCGUGAAGUAGACCGCCUGGGGAGUACGGUCGCAAGAUUAAAACUCAAAGGAAUUGACGGGGACCCGCACAAGCGGUGGAUGAUGUGGAUUAAUUCGAUGCAACGCGAAAACCUUACCUACCCUUGACAUGUCAGAUCCUUCGAGAGAUCGGGGAGUGCCCGAAAGGGAGCUGACAAGGUGCUGCAUGGCUGUCGUCAGCUCGUGUCGUGAGUGUUAGGUUAAGUCCCGCACGGACGCAACCUUGUCAUAGUUGCUACGCAAGACACUCUAUGAGACUGCCGGUGAACACCGAGAGGGGGGAUGACGUCAGGCCUCUGGCCUUAUGGUAGGGCUCCCACGUCUA
Molecule: ribosomal RNA, 1171 nt
Filed under: bacterium PGBw9
Lineage: Bacteria
Description: bacterial SSU rRNA
Rfam family: Bacterial small subunit ribosomal RNA
Source: RNAcentral